AGAGUUUGAUCAUGGCUCAGAAUGAACGCUGGCGGCGUGCCUAACACAUGCAAGUCGAACGGGAACAUUUCGGUAGCAAUAUCGGGGUGUUCUAGUGGCGGACGGGUGAGUAACGCGUGGGCAACCUGCCUCAUACAGGGGGAUAACACUGGGAAACUAGUGCUAAUACCGCAUAACGUCACGAUAUGGCAUCAUAAUGUGACCAAAGGAGCAAUCCGGUAUGAGAUGGGCCCGCGUCCGAUUAGCUAGUUGGUGAGGUAACAGCUCACCAAGGCGACGAUCGGUAGCCGAACUGAGAGGUUGAUCGGCCACAUUGGGACUGAGACACGGCCCAGACUCCUACGGGAGGCAGCAGUGGGGAAUAUUGCGCAAUGGGGGGAACCCUGACGCAGCAACGCCGCGUGAAGGAUGAAGGUUUUCGGAUUGUAAACUUCUUUGAUGAGGGACGAACAAAAUGACGGUACCUCAAAAACAAGCCACGGCUAACUACGUGCCAGCAGCCGCGGUAAUACGUAGGUGGCGAGCGUUGUCCGGAAUUAUUGGGCGUAAAGAGUGAGCAGGCGGCAGUUUAAGUUUGGAGUCAAAGCGAGGGGCUCAACCCCUUAACGCUCUGAAAACUGAACAGCUAGAGUGCGAGAGAGGUAAGUGGAAUUCCAUGUGUAGCGGUGAAAUGCGUAGAUAUAUGGAGGAACACCAGUGGCGAAGGCGACUUACUAGCUCGAUACUGACGCUCAGUCACGAAAGCGUGGGUAGCAAAUAGGAUUAGAUACCCUAGUAGUCCACGCUGUAAACGAUGAGAACUAAGUAUUGCCGUGAGGCAGUGCUGAAGCUAACGCAUUAAGUUCUCCGCCUGGGGAGUACGGUCGCAAGGUUGAAACUCAAGGAAUUGCCGG
This 893-nucleotide ribosomal RNA is filed under the name uncultured bacterium. Its description in RNAcentral is "bacterial SSU rRNA". It matches the Rfam family "Bacterial small subunit ribosomal RNA", at positions 8 to 916 of the family's 1533-position model. The record is from RNAcentral.